RNA transcript from Eurytemora carolleeae, 764 nucleotides. It is a transcript of the gene named tRNA-specific adenosine deaminase 2-like, with no coding region annotated. The transcript is spliced from 7 exons. Lineage: Eukaryota; Metazoa; Arthropoda; Copepoda; Calanoida; Temoridae. The record is from RefSeq and is a predicted model, not a curated record.
GUCAAUAAGAAAGUCAAUAAGAAAGACAAUAAAAAUAAUCUGCAAAUCAAACUAUUAUUAUAAUUUUCAGAUAAAAUGCAAGAUUAUAAUGAUACUUUCAUGACAAGGGCCUUUGUUAAGGCUCAUGAGGCUCUUGCUAUUGGAGAGGUGCCAAUAGGAUGCGUUUUUGUGGGAGAAAAUGACCAAGUUAUAUCAGAGACAAGGAAUACUGUAAACCAAACCAAGAACGCCACCAGACACGCCGAGAUUAAUGCUGUAGAUGAUGUAGAGAAAUUAGCCAAGGACCGAGGGGUGUGCUCCAGCAGUAUAUAUCCUACAAUAUCCGUCUAUGUGAAUGUGGAACCAUGUAUUAUGUGCGCUGCGGCUCUAAUGAAAGUCAGGGUAAAAGCUAUCUACUAUGGAUGUGCUAAUGAUAAGUUUGGAGGAUGUGGAUCUGUAGGAAACCUAGAAGCAAAUAUGGCAGAACUAGCUCCGGAUUACAGAGUGAAAGUGUCCGGAGGCCACAGAGCUCCAGAGGCUAUUCAACUUCUUAAAGAAUUCUAUAACGGAGAAAAUCCGUAUGCUCCGAACCCUAAGGUUAAGGGAGUGAAACUAAAGAAGGAGCAGGUUAAUGGAGAAUCAUGCUCCUCAUGAAACCUGGAGCAAACCUUUUCAAAAGAUUGUUCAGUUAUUAGAACUUGGUGUAGGUUUUAAUAAUUGAACAAUUGGACCCAUCUUUUUUUAUUUUAUCAUUUUUACAUUUGCAUGAUCUGUGAUAUUUCAGA